This 433-nucleotide ribosomal RNA is filed under the name uncultured bacterium. RNAcentral describes it as "partial 16S ribosomal RNA". It matches the Rfam family "Bacterial small subunit ribosomal RNA", at positions 29 to 507 of the family's 1533-position model. The record is from RNAcentral.
AACGAACGCUGGCGGCAUGCCUAACACAUGCAAGUCGAACGAGACCUUCGGGUCUAGUGGCGCACGGGUGCGUAACGCGUGGGAACCUGCCCUUAGGUUCGGAAUAACUCCCCGAAAGGGGUGCUAAUACCGGAUAAUGUCUUCGGACCAAAGAUUUAUCGCCUUUGGAUGGGCCCGCGUUGGAUUAGCUAGUUGGUAGGGUAAAAGCCUCCCAAGGCGACGAUCCAUAACUGGUCUGAGAGGAUGAUCAGCCACACUGGGACUGAGACACGGCCCAGACUCCUACGGGAUGCAGCAGUGGGGAAUAUUGGACAAUGGGCGAAAGCCUGAUCCAGCAAUGCCGCGUGAGUUAUGAAGGCCUUAGGGUUGUAAAGCUCUUUUAACCGGGAUGAUAAUGACAGUACCGGGAGAAUAAGCUCCGGCUAACUCCGUG